Molecule: ribosomal RNA, 253 nt
Filed under: uncultured bacterium
Lineage: Bacteria
Description: partial 16S ribosomal RNA
Rfam family: Bacterial small subunit ribosomal RNA
Source: RNAcentral
UACGAAGGGGGCUAGCGUUGCUCGGAAUGACUGGGCGUAAAGGGCGCGUAGGCGGACUGCACAGUCAGGCGUGAAAUUCCUGGGCUUAACCUGGGGACUGCGUCUGAGACGUGUGAUCUAGAGUGAGGAAGAGGGUCGUGGAAUUUCCAGUGUAGAGGUGAAAUGCGUAGAUAUUGGAAAGAACACCGGUGGCGAAGGCGGCGACCUGGACCUUCACUGACGCUGAGGCACGAAAGCGUGGGGAGCAAACAGG